Molecule: ribosomal RNA, 439 nt
Filed under: uncultured bacterium
Lineage: Bacteria
Description: bacterial SSU rRNA
Rfam family: Bacterial small subunit ribosomal RNA
Source: RNAcentral
ACGCGCGGAACCUUACCAGGUCUUGACAUCCCGCUGACCGGUAUAGAGAUAUACCUUUCCCUUCGGGGACAGCGGUGACAGGUGGUGCAUGGUUGUCGUCAGCUCGUGUCGUGAGAUGUUGGGUUAAGUCCCGCAACGAGCGCAACCCUUGAUCUUAGUUGCCAGCAUUCAGUUGGGCACUCUAAGGUGACUGCCGGUGACAAACCGGAGGAAGGUGGGGAUGACGUCAAAUCAUCAUGCCCCUUAUGACCUGGGCUACACACGUGCUACAAUGGAUGGUACAAAGGGCUGCAAGACUGCGAAGUCAAGCCAAUCCCAUAAAACCAUUCUCAGUUCGGAUUGCAGGCUGCAACUCGCCUGCAUGAAGCCGGAAUCGCUAGUAAUCGCGGAUCAGCAUGCCGCGGUGAAUACGUUCCCGGGCCUUGCACACACCGCCCGU